GACGAACGCUGGCGGCGGGCUUAACACAUGCAAGUCGAACGGAAAGGCCCUGCUUUUGUGUGGUUCUCGAGUGGCGAACGGGUGAGUAACACGUGAGUAACCUGCCCUUGACUUUGGGAUAACUUCAGAAAACUGGGGCUAAUACCUGAUAGGAGCUCCUGCUGCAUGGGGGGGGUUGGAACGUUUCGGCGGUUGGGGAUGGACUCGGGGCUUAUCAGCUUGUUGGGGGGGUAGUGGCUUACCAGGGCUUUGACGGGUAGCCGGCCUGAGAGGGUGACCGGCGACAUUGGGACUGAGAUACGGCGCAGACGCGUACGGGAGGCAGCAGUGGGGAAUAUUGCACAAUGGGCGGAAGCCUGAUGCAGCAACGCCGCGUGCGGGAAGACGGCCUUCGGGUUGUAAACCGCUUUCGCCUGUGACGAAGCGUGAGUGACGGUAAUGGGUAAAGAAGCACCGGCUAACUACGUG
Molecule: ribosomal RNA, 468 nt
Filed under: uncultured bacterium
Lineage: Bacteria
Description: partial 16S ribosomal RNA
Rfam family: Bacterial small subunit ribosomal RNA
Source: RNAcentral